CGGCUCCGGUGCGCUCGAGACUUUAUUCACUCCAGAGUCCAACACAGAGACGGACCUGUCGAGCUCUCUAUUCCACACUGCAAGCUAAGCACUCACUGGAUAGAACACACGGACAACUUUUUAUAGAGCUAUUUCCGCUGCUCUAUUUUUGGUUUUCAUUACGGGACUUAAACCUGGGAUUGUACUAUUUUAAAAAGACGCACUUUUUGUUGUUGAAAAAUGUCAUGGUCUUUCAUGUUCAUCGUUUAAAUAAUAAUAUUUGGGUAUAGAACUCGAAAUAUUUGAGAACAAGGGAAACUGUUACACAUGUUUUCCAACCUCUGAAGAAGACUUAACAAGUUAUUCGUUCUUGGGGGGUCGAUAACAAGUGCAAUGAUUGUCAAGGUCUUCUGUUGGGAUUGCCUUACUGCUCAACUGGUCUAAGGAGCCAGCCAUGCACUUUUGUCUGCUCUACUUCUGUCACGGAGAGAGGGCUCGGAGUGGCGGACGCGCACGAAUGUGAAUUACAUUGCAGUCAACUACUCUACUUCAAAGCACUUCAGAUAUCCGCAGAGUUCCCCAAACAAGUGUUUAGGAGUUGUACCGCGGGCGACUGAACGGGACUACUCACAUGUUCCUCUCCCCAAGGGAUGGUUCUUGAUCAUCCGCGGGCAGGAGCGACUUUGCGGCUCCUACAGCAGGAGACGUUUUCUUGUUUUGGGGGAAAUCGGAAUUAAAGGGAGAUGAGACCCGUACUUUGCUACUUCCUGCUCUGUACGUCGUACCUGCUGAAUGCUGUUGCUGAGGAAGUCCCGCAGGAGUUGAUAGAGAGACUGUCUCACAGCGAAAUCCACAGCAUCAGCGACCUCCAGCGGCUAUUGGACUCCGAGAUAGACGUCCCCGUAGGUGCGGGAAAUGAGGUCAUGGAGGAGACCAAGCCGAUGCAGAAGCAUCAUAAGAACUACUCCCAACAGCACGGCUACUCAGACCUGAAGAGCUCACAGAUACACAGCCGACGCAAGAGGAGCGUUGAGGAGGCGGUGCCUGCGGUGUGUAAGACGCGGACAGUGAUCUAUGAGAUCCCGCGCAGCCAGGUGGACCCCACAGCUGCCAACUUCCUGAUAUGGCCGCCGUGCGUGGAGGUCAAGAGGUGCACGGGAUGCUGCAAUACCAGCAACAUGCGCUGCCACCCCUCACGCAGGCACCACCGCACCGUUAAGGUGGCCAAGGUGGAGUAUGUGCGGAGGAAACCCAAGCUGAAAGAGGUCUUGGUCAGGUUAGAAGACCACCUGGAGUGUGUGUGCACGUCACAACAUCACGUGACCGAGCACUCAGACGCAGACACAGGCCACCAUACUAGGGCUAAAGGUAGAAAAAGGAAAGCUAAAAAGCUAAAGCUCAACAAGGAUUUAUUGGCGACAUAAUAAACUUGAACACAUUAUUCCAAAGUCCGGCCGCCGGACCCCCCGGCUCCAACAGUGGACAUAAGGUGAGACCCCAGCAGCAUUGGACUUCAGUGUGGAAGGGGCCAAAGAGAGGAUGCUGCCAUAUUUGGACUGCUGACCUACCCCCUUCCCUGACCCCACCCCACCUACCGCCUUUUAAAAACAAAGAUUACUGUAAAGAGAAAAAAAGAGAAAAAGUUAAUAAAAUGCCAAAGGUGCUUUUUUCUAUUACCGUAAAAAGUAAUGCAGAAGGUCUCUGUCAAGUGCAGCAGAACCAACCAAUCGAACAGUGAUGCGGAUGAGGAUGGUGAAGGCGAUAAAGACCUGGGCAGAAAAGAGAAGAGGAGGACAAGAUGGGUUGUCGUUUGUUUGGGUAAACAGGACAGUUUGACGAUCACAGAGAGAGAUCCAGGAUGGAUCAUUGGAUUAAGCCUUGAUGGGGGAUCUGUUGACUGGAUCCUAAAAGGACACAGAGAGGGACAAUCAGUGAACUCUUUGGGACGUGUGGAGGCUUGCAUGUUCCUAGCCGUUGGCCUAAGUGACACUUGCCUGGACAGUCAAUGACUGACAGAGAGAAAAAGAGAGGGAGAGAGGGAAAGAGAUGUUGAGAGAAGUUGUAGAGAGGUGUAGAAGGUACUGGUCGUGUUACUUGUUGUUCCGGAACUCUCUGUAAACUGUAGUGGAACUUGUGAACAUUCUGGAACUCAUAAAAUGGUUGCCCAUUUUGUUUCUUUUGGAUAAAGUGUUGGGAAAAGUGUUUGCAAUCAUCAGGACCUGUUGUUCCAAGCGGCUUCUCUGCUUCUCUCUCUCUUGGGUUUCCCUAUCUGCUCCUAUUGGGAUUGUGCCAGUCGCCAUAUACACUACAGAACGAUUCAGAAAGGAAGAUUCAUUCAUUGCUACUAAUAAACUAUUUAUACGUGUAAACGUUUUCAUUUCUCUCUCUCUCCCUCCAAGACAUUGUUAUGUUUUCUGUGACAUGUAAGAGUCAUGUUCUGUCUGAUCCUCUGGUAGUGAAUCUUCAUGUCCACAUGUUCAUGUAGUUGUUACGCAUGUUCAAUGUUGUCUUAUUAUGUGCCAGUAUAUUAUCUGAACAGUCUCAAGUCUAGUUGUAUGGGCUGGAAAUGUAAGGAAGCGUGGCGAGGAGGAGAUGGGGAGGACAGAGUCUGUACAAGUACAGGAAGAUGCUUUAUUUUUGUUAAGAAAAUAUAUUAUGCUUACUUAUAUUCAAGUAGGAAGUAUGUUUGUUAUUUCUUUGUUUGUUGUGGUUGAAGGCUUUUAUUUAAUCCAUGGAAACGAUGCAGGAAUGGGGGUGAGGAAAUGUAUAAGUCCCCAGCAAUGCACCCUGUUUGGUGGUGUAGGGCAGCCUUACAUCAGCAGUGCUGUACUGUAUUAUCUAGAGCGCUGGAUAGAGCUAACCUGGUCCCAGAUCAGUUUGUGUUGUCCUCCAAACACAUAUAGUCAUUGGCAAGACAGCACAAACCGAUCUGAGAUCAGGUUAGUGCAGAGCUGGCUGAGGAAGACUCAAUCUGGGGCAUCGUUGGACUGUGUCUCUUUAACCCAGUUAUCUAGCCAAAAGUUACACCCAGUAACCAGAGCGCCAUUAUACACAACAGAACACACACGUUCAGCAUGUGUGUGUGUGUGUGUGCACAUAAAUGUGUGUGUGAAACCACUUUUAACCCACAUCACACUCCUUUGAUAAGAUGGUACCCAGUCCGCCCCACCAGCACACAAGCUGUUCUUAACGAGUACAAAGUCCAUCUUGAAUGAGAGAGAGUUUGUGAACAAACCAACAUGGAUGGUUUCCUAGUUAAUCAAGCAGCAGUCUUCCAUUGACACGUUAACAACGAUGAAGACUGUUCCACUGUUGACACGUUAACAACGAUGAAGACUGUUCCACUGUUGACACGUUAACAACGAGGAAGACUGUUCCACUGUUGACACGUUAACAACGAGGAAGACUGUUCCACUGUUGACACGUUAACAACGAUGAAGACUGUUCCACUGUUGAUGAGUGAAAGAUCGAAAAAGAAGAUACCACUGUUUAUGGAGAGACUGACACCAAAUCUCUAACAACACCCUAUUUCCCGUAGAUUGCAGUGCACUACUUUAGACCAGAGCCACUGGCCAAAAUUAGUGCGCUACAUCGGGAAUAGGUUGUCGUUUGGCACACACUGAAUCAAUAGAAAGACCUGGGCACUUUUCCAAAAUGUCUCAGAGUAGGAGUGCUGUUCAUCUUAUUCAUUAUGAUCUAAACAGCUAAACUGAUCCUAGAUCAGCACUAAAUGUCUCAGAGUAGGAGUGCUGUUCAUCUUAUUCAUUAUGAUCUAAACAACUAAACUGAUCCUAGAUCAGCACUUUAUGAAGUCCUGGGUGAGAGACAUGUUGAGAGAAAAUAGAUGACUGUAUCUGCAGCUGCUUUGUGUUGUGGUAACAACAUCUUCAACUGCACUAUACAGACUUCCAAGGUGAUUCCAUUGGUGCUAUAUGUAUAAAGGAAAUCAGAAGAAGUUUCACCACCAUUUUGCAAUGCAUUCAUUUAUUCAUUCAUUGUCAAUAGACCAGGGACCAUUGCUUACAGUAACUAAAGAAACUGCAACAACACAGGCUAAUAGGAUUUUUUAUUUGGGCCUCUAUUGGAUAAAAACAGCAAUGAUUAUAAUUUAUAUAUUUAUGUUUUCAAUAAUAAAUACAUUCUGCUUAUCAAACUGUA
This is an RNA transcript of Salmo salar (Atlantic salmon), 4137 nucleotides long. It is a transcript of the gene named platelet-derived growth factor subunit A, with no coding region annotated. The record is from RefSeq and is a predicted model, not a curated record. NCBI's taxonomy places the organism in Eukaryota, Metazoa, Chordata, Actinopteri, Salmoniformes, Salmonidae.